GUGGAAGCAGAGUGAAUGGGGGACCAUUAACUGACGGACCAGACAGCUGCUUUACUAUCUGGCGCCAGUAUGUGAUUCAUACUCGACUUGCAGUCCAUUCAACAUGAACACCGCUGAAAAAUUAUUAAACAUAACACAAAGGGGAAAUAAGAAGAAGCUUGUACUUGUACUAAAAUGGCUUCAAAAACUGAAAUUACUCUCAAAAAAGAAGAGAUGCUCUCUGUGUGAAAGAAAAAUGAAAAUGAGAAAAGGUGGCAACACAAGAGAUGGAUAUCGCUGGGUGUGUCGAAGACAUAAUAGAUUCAUGUCCAAAUCCAUAAGAGAUGGGUCUAUUUUCUCAGGCUCUCGCUCCUCCUUGACUUCUUGGAUGAUGUUCAUGCAUAGGUUUGCACAAGGGCUAAGACUGAGGCAAGUGGACUUAAUUGAAGAGGGAGUCUGUGGAAGCAGCCGCACUUUGUCCAAGAUGUCCAAGACACUAAGGAGGGUGUGUGUGCAAGCAGUUAAGCACCUGAAGAGGAGGGGGAAAAUGAGAA
This is a long non-coding RNA of Archocentrus centrarchus (flier cichlid), 533 nucleotides long. RefSeq lists it as uncharacterized. NCBI's taxonomy places the organism in Eukaryota, Metazoa, Chordata, Actinopteri, Cichliformes, Cichlidae. The record is from RefSeq and is a predicted model, not a curated record. The transcript has 3 exons.